Molecule: ribosomal RNA, 497 nt
Filed under: uncultured bacterium
Lineage: Bacteria
Description: partial 16S ribosomal RNA
Rfam family: Bacterial small subunit ribosomal RNA
Source: RNAcentral
GAUGAACGCUGGCGGCAUGCCUAAUACAUGCAAGUCGAGCGAACCGACCAGGAGCUUGCUCCCCUGACUUUAUCGGCGGACGGGAGCGUAACACGUGGAUAACCUACCUAUACGACUGGGAUAACUUCGGGAAACCGGAGCUAAUACCGGAUAACAUGUUGCCCCUCAUGGUUCACCCGUGAAAGUCGGUCUUGCUUUCACUUAUAGCUGAAUACGGCCUGCAUGAAUUAGUUGGUUAAGUAACGGCUUAACAAGGCAAGGAGGGGUAGCCGACCUCAGCGGGUGGUCGCCCACACGGUAACAGAGACUGGGUCCAGACUCUGACGGGAGGAAACAGUAGAGAAUCUUACGCAAGGGGGGAGAGGCUGACAGAGCAACGCCGGGGGAGUGAUGAAGGACCUCUGCUCGGAAAACGCUGUAGGUAGUGAAGAACAAAUGUGCAAUUAACCAGGCUCAUCUUGACGGUACCGAAAGAGAAAGCCACGGCUAACUACGUG